GAUGAAGAACGCAGCAAAAUGCGAUAAGUAAUGUGAAUUGCAGAAUUCAGUGAAUCAUCGAAUCUUUGAACGCACAUUGCGCCCGCUGGUAUUCCGGCGGGCAUGCCUGUUCGAGCGUCAUUUCAACCCUCAAGCCCCCGGGUUUGGUGUUGGGGAUCGGCUCUGCCCUUCUGGGCGGUGCCGCCCCCGAAAUACAUUGGCGGUCUCGCUGCAGCCUCCAUUGCGUAGUAGCUAACACCUCGCAACUGGAACGCGGCGCGGCCAUGCCGUAAAACCCCAACUUCUGAAUGUUGACCUCGGAUCAGGGAGGAAUACCCGCUGAACUUAAGCAUAUCAAUAAGCGGAGGA
RNAcentral lists this unclassified non-coding RNA (348 nucleotides) under soil metagenome. RNAcentral's name for it is "partial contains 5.8S ribosomal RNA, internal transcribed spacer 2, and large subunit ribosomal RNA". The stretch from base 1 to 120 matches the Rfam family "5.8S ribosomal RNA", at positions 35 to 154 of the family's 154-position model. The record is from RNAcentral.